RNAcentral lists this ribosomal RNA (662 nucleotides) under Caulobacter henricii. RNAcentral describes it as "bacterial SSU rRNA". It matches the Rfam family "Bacterial small subunit ribosomal RNA", at positions 85 to 780 of the family's 1533-position model. The record is from RNAcentral. Lineage: Bacteria; Pseudomonadati; Pseudomonadota; Alphaproteobacteria; Caulobacterales; Caulobacteraceae.
GGAUUAGUGGUGCGUGUACGGGUGAGUAACACGUGGGAACGUGCCUUUUGGUUCGGAACAACUCAGGGAAACUUGAGCUAAUACCGGAUAAGCCUUUCGAGGGAAAGAUUUAUCGCCAUUAGAGCGGCCCGCGUAGGAUUAGCUAGUUGGUGGGGUAAAGGCCCACCAAGGCUACGAUCCUUAGCUGGUCUGAGAGGAUGAUCAGCCACAUUGUGGGACUGAGACACGGCCCAAACUCCUACGGGAGGCAGCAGUGGGGAAUCUUGCGCAAUGGGCGAAAGCCUGACGCAGCCAUGCCGCGUGAAUGAUGAAGGUCUUAGGAUUGUAAAAUUCUUUCACCGGGGACGAUAAUGACGGUACCCGGAGAAGAAGCCCCGGCUAACUUCGUGCCAGCAGCCGCGGUAAUACGAAGGGGGCUAGCGUUGCUCGGAAUUACUGGGCGUAAAGGGAGCGUAGGCGGAUAGUUUAGUCAGAGGUGAAAGCCCAGGGCUCAACCUUGGAAUUGCCUUUGAUACUGGCUAUCUUGAGUACGGAAGAGGUAUGUGGAACUCCGAGUGUAGAGGUGAAAUUCGUAGAUAUUCGGAAGAACACCGGUGGGCGAAAGCGACAUACUGGUCCGUUACUGACGCUGAGGCUCGAAAGCGUGGGAGCAAACAGGAUUA